CCUACGGGGCGCAGCAGUGAGGAAUAUUGGUCAAUGGGCGAGAGCCUGAACCAGCCAAGUCGCGUGAAGGAUGACGGCCCUACGGGUUGUAAACUUCUUUUGUCAGGGAGCAAUUGGGUCCACGCGUGGGCUUAGCGAGAGUACCUGAAGAAAAAGCAUCGGCUAACUCCGUGCCAGCAGCCGCGGUAAUACGGAGGAUGCGAGCGUUAUCCGGAUUUAUUGGGUUUAAAGGGUGCGUAGGCGGAAUAUCAAGUCAGCGGUAAAAAUUCGGGGCUCAACCCCGUCGUGCCGUUGAAACUGAUGUUCUGGAGUGGGCGAGAAGUAUGCGGAAGGCGUGGUGUAGCGGUGAAAUGCAUAGAUAUCACGCAGAACUCCGAUUGCGAAGGCAGCAUACCGGCGCCCAACUGACGCUGAAGCACGAAAGCGUGGGUAUCGAACAGGAUUAGAUACCCCUGUAGUC
RNAcentral lists this ribosomal RNA (460 nucleotides) under uncultured bacterium. RNAcentral describes it as "partial 16S ribosomal RNA". It matches the Rfam family "Bacterial small subunit ribosomal RNA", at positions 338 to 795 of the family's 1533-position model. The record is from RNAcentral.